Molecule: long non-coding RNA, 429 nt
Organism: Paramormyrops kingsleyae
Lineage: Eukaryota; Metazoa; Chordata; Actinopteri; Osteoglossiformes; Mormyridae
Source: RefSeq, a predicted model, not a curated record
CAAAAGCCUUGGUACUUUUUUGCACGCACAGAAAAUCUUCGGAAAGCUGACAGGAAACAUUAUUAUAAGCAUUUUUUUGGGUAAUCACAACCGUCAUCAUGGCAAAGAUGAUGGAAAAAUCUGACAAAUUAGGAAAUCAAAAGAGUGUGUCAUCUCAGACCGACAUAACAGAAGAAGCUGACGUAUGCCCAUCUGUGAAAAAUGAUCCUCCCCUGCUAGAGUUGAUGAAACAGUUGAAGACCAAUCUACUUGAUUUAAGCGAUAUUAUUAAUAAUUUAAUAAAGCAUGACGAUGCAUCCGGGCCAACUGCUUUAGUCUCUACAUAUCAAAAUGUUGUGUUUUAAGUUGUGAUAAAUAAAAGUUACUUAAGUUUCAUCAGUGUCUGACUUUUUGAUUUUCCAUAAUUCUUACUAGACAAGUGGGACUGCC